Molecule: non-coding RNA, 25 nt
Filed under: Mus musculus (house mouse)
Lineage: Eukaryota; Metazoa; Chordata; Mammalia; Rodentia; Muridae
Source: RNAcentral
AGCAAAUCCAGUGAGACUCUGAGCA